GAUGAAGAACGUAGCAAAAUGCGAUAAGUAAUGUGAAUUGCAGAAUUCAGUGAAUCAUCGAAUCUUUGAACGCACAUUGCGCCCGCCAGUAUUCUGGCGGGCAUGCCUGUUCGAGCGUCAUUUCAACCCUCAAGCACAGCUUGGUGUUGGGACUCGCGUUAAUUCGCGUUCCCCAAAUUGAUUGGCGGUCACGUCGAGCUUCCAUAGCGUAGUAGUAAAACCCUCGUUACUGGUAAUCGUCGCGGCCACGCCGUUAAACCCCAACUUCUGAAUGUUGACCUCGGAUCAGGUAGGAAUACUCGCUGAACUUAAGCAUAUCAAUAAGCGGAGGA
Molecule: unclassified non-coding RNA, 332 nt
Filed under: soil metagenome
Description: partial contains 5.8S ribosomal RNA, internal transcribed spacer 2, and large subunit ribosomal RNA
Rfam family: 5.8S ribosomal RNA (bases 1-120)
Source: RNAcentral